This 27900-nucleotide long non-coding RNA is filed under the name Olea europaea (common olive). RNAcentral describes it as "long non-coding RNA (OEUR_LNC007652)". The record is from RNAcentral. Lineage: Eukaryota; Viridiplantae; Streptophyta; Magnoliopsida; Lamiales; Oleaceae.
AUAUUCUUUGUUUACUAGUUUCUUUCUUCUUCACGUUCACUUACUGCUUUACUUUCCUUUUCAGGUUCACUUUCUGCUUCAUUUUUACUCUCCUGAUCAAAUAUUAUGACUUUAAGUUCUUCAUUUCCCAUUUCUUCUUGUUCUUCUUGAAUUCUCUUAGCAGAUUCUUUGAUAGCUUCCACGCAGUCAUAUACCUCAAUCAUUAGUAAUGUUGGAAUAUCACCUAAACUGGGAGGGAUCAUCUUCAAAUGUUUGCAAUAUCUCAAUCCUAGUCGUUGAAGUCUUGGGAAAUGAUCUCUUGAGGUAUUCCACUCUGCAAGUCUCACAUUAGAGAGUUUCAAGAAUUUAAGUUGUGGAAAUUCACCUUCACUAGUGUCCCAUCGUCGUCCAUCAAAGGAAACAUAACGUAAUUUGAGAACCACAAGGUACUUCAAUUUCCCAAUUAACUCCAUUUGUUCCUGUGCCAUGCGUACACGUAUUAAAGUCAAUUGUUUGAGAUUUAAGGGCAGACUGAUCAAAUUGAACGAUGAAUAUCCCACGAUACUACGUGAUCUGAGCUUCAAUGAUUCGAGCUGAUUCAGGAAGUCGAAAGAAUAACUGUGUGAAGAUUUAACCCUGCCCUUAAGUCUGCGAAGAUUGGAUAAACAUCUCAAAAUUUUCUCAUCCACUUCAUCGAAAAUUUGAAGGAAAGAAAUACUUUGUAGGUUACUUUUUAUUUGGAAGCUCUUAUCCUUAAUUGCUCGAUGACGGAUAGACUCACUGAAGUAUGCACCACCCUCGAAAUGCACUUGUCUCAAACUCAUCAUAUUAAGGAGGACAUCCGGUAUUUCAAUAUUAUGACUUCUCAUGACAAGAAAUUCUAGUUUGUGGAAGCUAUCCAUUGGUGGAAGUGUAGAUGAAAGUGCCAAGUACCUCACGUGAACGAGCUGGUUAAUUCCGACUACAACAAGAUUUAUCCAGGGCCUGCAAAAAUCCAAGACCCUAAGAACUUUGAAGCCGCAUGCAACUAAUGUGGGCAACGUUACAUUACCACAUAAAAGAGAGCGCGUAUGUGGGCCGAAAGGUAGUGAGGCAGUAGGAUCCUCCCCAUAGACGAUACUCAGACAAUGGCGUUUCCGAAACAUCGCCAUUUCACUGUAGUACGGUAGUGAGUUAGCGUGAUCCUCCCCAUAGACGAUACUCAGACAAUGGUGUUUCUGAUACAUCACCACUUCAUUGAAGUACGGUAGUGGAUGAGAUUCAUAAUCACUGGUAUAAACAUAAUCACACGUGAUACGAUCAUCAGAUAUAGUUACCAUUAUUAGUACACUAAAAUAAAAAUGUACGAAUAGAGAAGAAAAAAAUAAGAGAAAUAGGUAACUUACAUAUUGAAAAUCUUCAAAAAGUUUUUUUCUUCAGCUAUUCUCAAGCACAUUUCACGCAAUAGAUCAUGAAUCUUACAAGUUUUGAUUGAACCAUCAAAUUUUUUUCCAGCAACAAGUACCAGGCUCCUAUCAAUGAGUUUCAUCACAUAUUCUAGUGCCACAUCCUCUAAACUCUUUUGCUCUUCCUUCUUUAUAUAUCCUUCAGCAACCCAUAAUGAUGUCAACUUUUGUAUGUGGAUUUCCUCGUCCUCUUUGAAUGCUCCAAAGUAAAGAAAGCAUGGUUUCAAGUGCAUUGGCAAAUGAUUAUAGCUAAGUUCUAAUAUCUGGAUGUAGUUGUCUGAAUUUUUGGAUAAAUGUGAACUUAAAUUUCUUGCAACUUCUUGCCACAAGUGUUCUUUAUUCUCCAUAUUUGCAAGAACUCCAGCUAUCACGACCACGGCAAGUGGUAGGCCAUGACAUUUUUUUGCAAUCUUCUUCCCAACGUCUAGCAGUUCUUGAGGACAACUUUUACCUCUGAACACUUUCUUUUGUAAUAAAUCCAAGCAUUCAUCUUCUGAUAGAAAAGGAAGUGUAUUUAUGACACAAUGAGGUGACAAUUUCGAACUUACUUCUUUAUUCCGAGUGGUGAAUAAGAUUCUGCUUCCAGUUCCGUCAUCUGGAAAAAUUCUUUUCAAAUCAUCCCAUAAUUUUGUAUCCCAUAUAUCAUCCAGAACAAUAAGAUAUCGCCUUCCUUUUAAACUUUUGUAAACAUCUUCAGCCAAACUUUCUUCGUCCUUGAUUGCAAUUUGUUCUCGCUUAACAUUUUUUAUACAGCUCAAAAUGUUAAUCAAAAUAUUUUUCUUAUCAUAUGUUUGAGAAACAACACACCAGGCUCGCUUGUAAAAAUGAUAGACUACGGAUGGAUCAUUAUAUAGUUUAUUUGCUAAAGUCGUCUUACCAAGUCCAGGCAUUCCAAAUAUGGAGAUAAUUUGCAAUUGCUCCUUUCCUCUAACAAGUUGUUCUGCAAUUUCGAGUGCAACAUCUUCAAACCCCACAAUAACAUCUUCCAAAAUGGGAGUUCCUUUAGAUUGUGAGAAUAAGUGUUCAUCCGGAUAUUUUGCAACUUCUGGCAUUCCAGCCACAUCAAUAUCGUUCUUCACUUCUUUGAUGUCCAUCGUAAUAAGCUGAAUCUUCUCAAUGAGCAGAGGAAGUCUGAGGGUGAGAUACCAAACAGGGGGGAAUGAGUUGAUAACAUAUUCAACUUCAAAUGCUACGUCUCUGGUUUUUAUUAUGAGUUCUUCCUGCUCUGCUUCUUGCUGCACAGCUAUACUGGUGAUGGAAGAUCCCAAUAACAAUAGCUCCUCAUGUAGCAUUACAAUUUGAUCGUUCAUACCAACAAUCCUGUCAGACUUGUUAUUUAUUAGGUCCAUGAGAUCAUCAAGAACCGAAUCAACAAUGAAGAGGGAAACCACACCAGCCUUUGGAGCCAUAUCAAUUGGCAUCUUUGAGACUGUGAUGCAGUGCUCCUUGAUCUUUGAUUUCAAGAGCUCGAACUUUGGUAACAAAUCGGAAAGAGCUAGAUCCACUAAUCCACUCUCAGGGACUUGAUCAUUCUUGGUGAAAACUAUGAAACUUCCUAUCUCAUGGACCAGAGCUUUGAUAUCCGCCAUUACUUUCUCGGUUUCUUCUACCUCAGUAGUGGUCUGCAAUGGCCUGUCCUCAAGAACGUCGGAAAUGCCAGAGUGCAAGAAACUUACAACGUGGUUGACCACAUCUUCAAUAUCCGUCGAAUUAAGCAUCAAAUAAGUAAAAAGGGUUUCUUCCUUCCGAGUGGCAAAGAAUACGUCAAAGGUGAAAUACAAGGAAUAAAAGAAACUUCCUACCUCAUUAACCACAGCUUCGAUAUCUAUCACUACCUUAUUGGUGGGCUGCAAAUGCAUUGAUGUAUCUCCAAGAAAAGUAAUAAGAAAUCCUAGCUCUGUCCGGAGAUUAUGGAAAGCAAUGUAUUCUGCCUUAAAACAUAGGAUGGAUUCUACCAUUCGGAGUAGAAAGUUGAUAAAGGCUGCAACAACUUCAUUGGGACAAGACAAGCUUUGCUGGUUUGGGACAGUGAAGAAUUCCUCAAGCUUUUUCCCACGUGACAAUAGUUGUUGGAGACAGUGUCUAAUAUUUUCAAUACCUUUUGAGUUUCCAAUCGGCUCUGGAAAAUGAAAUAAAUCGGUUGAUGGGAGCCCAAGUUGGCAGGACAAAUUUGAAAUAUACUCGGACACGAUUAUACGGAAUCCUUUUGGCCCAGUAAACAGUGUAUCCUCGUCUUGUAAAGGGUACUCCUCUCCCGUGUCCAGGCAGUCUGUGUCUGUUUCUCCCUCUCCUGAUGACAUAGGGAAAGGAUCUGUGUCUGUUUCACCCUCUCCUGAUGACAUAGGGAAAGGAUACACGCGAUUGCAGGGAAAAAAAUAUUUGUGUUUAAAAGCCUAAUAGAUUCUACCAAUUUUGGCAUAUAGCUUUGGAGCUUGUAGAUCUGAAAAUGGAGUUUGAAACCAGAAAACGGGAAAGACUAGAAAUUAUUGAGGGGAGAGAGAGUGAGUUUGAAUUAGGGCCGGCCAAAUCUACCGAGCCCAAUCAAAUCAAUUGAAUCGAAUUCGAAUCGAACCGAAUUCGAUGGUUCUUCUCAAAUUAAAUAUUCGAACGGAUAUCUGAAUUGAGGACCGACGGGUACGAUUCGGUUCUCGAUUAUAGACAAAGAACUGAAAAAUCGAACAAGAAUCGAAUCUCUCUAAUUUUUUUUAUAUUGAAUAAAUUAAAUUAUUUUAAUUUUAAUUUUUUCUAAACAAAUUAACAAUUCUUAAAUCCAAAUUUUUGACCCAAUAAUUUGUUUUAUUUCUAAUUUUUUUAAUUUUUGGCCCAAUUACCCAUUUUAUUGUUUCAUUUUUUAGCCCAACAUGAUCCAAACAUGUUUUUAUCAGUGUCUGCCUUAAAAGAUCUACCUUAGACUAUUACUAUCCCUUGUCCGCUAUAUAUGAGACUGAACUCAGCUUCCAUGUUGAAUCUUUAAUAUUGCAUUUUCUCUCCAAUUCCCAUUCCUUUCCUUUUCCAUAUUAUCAAGUCGCCUAUAGUUGAAUCAACUAUACUCAAUGACUGUUAGACUUGUGUGUUGUCCCUUCACAAAGUAAAAUUUUCUCUUACACUUAGUUCUUCCACUAGUUCUAAUACAGAUUAGUUUUGGUAGGUUUGUAUGCAACAUCUAAAUUGGAGAAAUAGCCAGCUGAUCAUGUUAAUAAGAUUAGUUAGCAUUUAGCUUAUGCUCUUUAAGGGUUUUCCAGAAUGUUUUAUUCGUUUCUCUCUGUUUAAUUGGCAAGUCAAGCAAUUGAUGGAUAAUUGAAGUUUUAAUAUUACUAUCUACUCUUUGGUAUUUGUAAAUUGUAAGCAUGGGUAAAUUAAUCUUGUUGGACAACUUGUUAUUUACACGUUAUUAAAUUGGACUAUGUUAAUUUGUAAAACUACGAUUGAAUGCGUCAUUAGUUGUAUUUAUAUAGUGUUGUUAUAAAUGUUAAAAAUUUAAUUAUAGUACGGAACCGAAUGGAACCGAACCCAAACGGUUCCAUAAUUAUAUUUGGACCCGACGGUUCGAUUUACUAGAUACCCAAAAUUUUGGUUCAGUUUGGUUCUAAAGCCCGUGCCCACCUCUAGUUUGAAUUACUGAUAUGUUGGAGUACGGUUCAUAUGAUUUACACUUUUCAAAAAAGUCCCGUUUUGCUCCAUCAAUUUUCAUUUUACUAAUAUUUCAUUUUUCUCUCUUCUAUUUUUAACAACACAAUCUUCUAUAAAAUAAUAUUACACGUAAAUCAAAAAAAUUUCCCUCUUUUUCAACCACCAAUUUUAAUAAAAAACGCUAUUCCACCCAUUUUCAUUUUUACAGAAUGGGGGCCAAAUGGGGGCUAAAUUAAAAGCGGAUGUAAAGAAAAAAAUCACAAACGUCCUACUCAAACAUGCCUUUUCUGUUAUCUAGGGUUUGGGAGUAAUUUUUCACCCCUCAAAAAUUGAUUUUUUGAUCGUUAUUUCACUAUUUUUAGCCGUAAAGUUAGGGAUGGCAAUUGUUCGAUUUCGGUUCAAUUCGGCCAAAACUAUCAUCGAACCGUCAAAUUUUUUGACAUACCAUAACCGCACCAUAACCACGUAAAUCGGUUCGGUUCGGUUCGGUUCAGUUCGUAUCUCAGUUCGACUCGGUUCGGUUCGGUUAGGUUAAUAACCACGAAAAUAAUUUUUUUUCUACAUGUCCAUUCGUCAAAUUGAUAUAAAAUAAUUUAUGAAAAGAGAGUCAAUGAAAACAAAAACACAAUAUUUCAAACGAAAAUGUAAACAUUAUUCCAAAUUUCAAUUGCAAAAUACCAAUUUAACAAACAAUAUAAUGAAUAUAAUAAUACUAAAAUUUUCCUUCAUUCUUGAUUCUUGUGCAUUGUAGUUACUUGAUUUAUGCUCAAUAAUUCAAAAGCUUCAACCUUAACUCAUAUUCAAUCUUCAUUCUUCCCCUCAACUCUUACUAGCAUAGGUCAGCACUUAAAAUUGAUUCCUAUAUAGUAAAUAAGAAAUGUAAGUAGAGAAUACAACGAUACUACCUAAUCUAGAAUGAUUUUAAGAUUUAAAUAAAAAAAUGUACAUCUUCGUCAACUUCCUUUUCACUAAACCUUGUCAUCACUAAUAAAAGAAUGAUUUUUUUAAGCGGGUAAUCGGUUCGACGGCAUAAAUACCAUACUCAUACCGCCACGAACCGAUUUAUUAAAAUCAUAUACCAUAUCCGUCCCCAUUGCACCAUCCCUUCGAUUUUUUUCGCCUCAUUUAGUUCGGUUAACUGCGGUUUUCGAUUUUAACAGUUCAAAUUGUCAUCCCUACGUAAAGUUUGACUUCUUCUCUGAAAGAUGGCCCUCACUUUUCUUCUAAUGGUCAAAAAAUCAAUUCUCAAAAUCGCUUCCAAACGAGCCCCUAAUAUCUUCACUAGAUUGUCUGACCACGGCUACCACCCAAAUCAGCAAUAUAUCCAAAAUCUAAAGUAGAAUCCAGCAUGUCCUCUCCAUCGCCAGGAAAAAUUUUUGGUGCAAUAAAGUGCGAAAUUUCUGGUUUACAUUGCGAAUUCACAAGGCCAUGUUUGGUAGGUCAUGAUUUCCAUGGAAAAUGGUAAAUUAAUUCUACUUUCCCACUUUUGCCAUGUUUGAUGGCAAUUUUUUUCCAUGGAAUUUAUUUUCCAUCUCCUCCCCUCACGCGCCCAUUUUCCUUGUUUUUGGGGAAUUACAAUUCUUAAGGAUAUGGUGAGAAUUGGUUCUCUAGGCAACCCUUUUUUUUUUUGGGAAUGGAAACAAAUUCUAUGCCUAAUUGUAAAAAAAAUAUUUUCCUUAAAUUGACAAUUUGCAUGAAAAACAAAGUCAAACGUACAUGAAAAAAUACUUUUAUUUCAACAUUUUUCAGGUGGAAAGUUAUACUAAUCAAAUACAAUAAUUGACAAUCCCAGCAAAACAAUUUUUAGCCAAUUCAAUUCCUUGGAAUUCGUUUUGUUUUCCACCCAAAUUCUAUCUUUGCAAUCAAACGGACCCUAAUAUGUAAUUAAUCUCAAUGAAUGUGACUGUAGAAAUUGCGGUCUAAAUAUGUCUUGACAAUAGUGAUCAAUUUGACACUCACGAUUCGAAAUUCAACAGUAAUUUGCAAUGUAAUUUCUGAAUGUGACUGUAGUAUUCGCUUUUUGAAUGUGUUCGAAGUUGGAGUAACUUGUGGGAAAUAUUUUUUGAAAAGAAAUGUAUAAAAUGCUUUAUGUCUUAUAAAAAAAAAAUUAUGGAAACUCUAAUAACCCAUUAAGCCCCCAUAUGGCCUCUAUUUUUUCAAAUUAAAAUGAGCGGAAUAGUAUUUUUUGAAGAAUGAGUUGUUGAAAAAUAAUGAAAAGUUUUCCGGUUUAAGUGUAAUGUUAUUUUAUAAAAGAUUGUGUGGAUGAAAAUAUAAGAGAGAAAAAAAUAAAAUUUAAUUUAAUGCGGGCCAAACGAGGGUAAAUCUAUUAAAAUUAUGUAACUUUGGAUUUUUUACCAGUAAAAAUUAAAGAUGGAUGAAAAUGUCUUUUUCUUUUAAAAACUUGUAUCAAUAAAGCCACAAGUACAGAAAAAAUAACAGAAUUUGUACCGACGCUGACUUGGCAAAAUAUAAGUGGCCUGUUUUUCUACUUUUUUCCCCAUCUUCCAAUGAUGUCGUGUCAUGCAUUGUCUAUAAAGUUUUUCUGUCAAAAAAAUAUGUACUUAUAGCAUGAUUCAAAUUAAUAUUUGCUUAAGUCCACUCCUAAAAAGUUGUACUUGUUUGAAAUAUUCUUCAAUAUCAAAAUGGAUCCUUCAAAGGAUCUCGAUGACAAUUUGAAUAUUUUUAACAAGCUUGUUCAAGAUAUUGUCAAUUGUGUUGAGAAUGUGUCUGAAACCUAUAAGGUUAUUAUUUUGCACAAUUCUAUGCAUGAUUCAUAUAGGGAGGUUAAGAAUGCAUUUAAGUAUAGUAGGAACACCUUAACACUCGAGAUAAAAAUUAAGACUGAAAGAUAAGAGGGGUGGUGAGGUACAUAUGAUGAGGAGUAAAAUGAAAUUUAAGCAAAUGAGUUUGGGUAAAACUCAAGAUCAUGGCGACUCAAGUGACGAAGGUGAUAAGAAGAACAGCGGUGGUUGGGAUAAGUCAAGUGGUAAGUGGCAUUAUAGCUGUGGUAAAGCUUGAAAAUUUAUGUGGGGACUGUCUUAAGAAGAAGGUUAAGCAGAAGGUAAAGGUUAAGGUAAGAGGUGAGGCAAAUGUGGCUAUUGGGUCGAGUGACGACCCUAUUGAGAUUUAUUGAGAGUAAACAUGUUACUGCGUGUGUAUCUGUGUGUAACAUUUUUACAUGUUUGUGAUUGCUUAAUUUUGUUGCAUGAUUAUAUGUUACAUUUCAAUAUAUUUGAUAUGUACAUUUGCAUGAAUUUGAGAACAAUCUGGUUACUUGGUACAAUAUGCUUGCAUGUAUAGUGAGCUUAAUAGUAAGUGUGUAGCGUGUCUAUUAGUGAUUUGGAGUAUAGAUGUCAUAGGAUGUAUUGGUGAUAUAUAAUGGCAGAUGUGGAGAGUGAUAUAUAGAUCAUAAGUGAAGAGGUGAUUAAAUGUCAAAUCCUUUAUCUGUAAAGACCCUAAUAAAGUGGAGUGUGAGAGUGACACUUUUGUUAGGUAGAGACCCACUUUUCACUUAUGUUGGGAGAAAUGAGGCAGUAAUAGAGGACUAUCUCGUGGCCUUAUGAUCUAUUGUGAUAUACCAAUUAAACAUGAGUUUCAUAACAAUUUUUACAAAGACUGUCUAGCAUAGAAGCACUCCAAAUGACUUAGACCAACGAAGUUCUUCUCUAGUAUAACCAUGACUAUGAUGCAAAAAGGUAUUACUUCUAGAAAGUGUUUUUAAGCAAAACCAAAGUGUAAAUAUAGAAUGGAAUGAAUAAUAAACGCUUUAGGGGUCCUUUAUAUAGAAGGUGUGGGGUGUAGUUGGAUAAAUACGCCCCAAAAUUCAGCAAUUUCAUGAAGGGAUGCAACUCGUUCCACCGUUCACCUACGACUAAUGUGGCACUCGAGCAGUGGCCAGUGCAUUUUACACACUUAUUUUGAACAUAAAACAUGGAUAAUUGUUGAUAAAAUAUAUUGAAUAUGACUUAAUUCUAUAUAAAUUAUGUUUUGUAUGACAAUAUUCAUGAAUGUGGCCGAAUCUAGGAAAAAAGUAAAAGUUCAGGGACCAAAGUGCAAUUAGUCAAAAGAUGACCUGAAAGACAAAAUGAAGAUGUGAAAAAUUUAAGUAUUGGAAAAAGAAAGAAAUGAGAAAAAGAGGUCAAGAAAUGAGAAAACGAAAUUCAGGGAUUAAAACACAACAUUUGAAAGUUAAUAUAACUGGGCGACUGCCUGAAUUUUCCCUGCGUGACUACCUAGGCAAAUCGCGGCAAAAAAGUUCUGGUUUUCUCAUGUAACUGAAAUUCUUAUGGAAACAAAUAUUGGUCUUUUAAAGCUCCAGGGACGUCCAUAAGGAAGAUGAGAUGCAUUCUAAAGCAUUCAUAAGGGUUUUAAAGCAUAGAAGGAGGCAAGAAACAUGAAGAUCGACCCCAAGACAUGAAGAUUCAAUUUAAGAUUUCUUCAAUAUUCUUUUUGUUUUCUAUUUUCUACCAUGUUAAGCUAGAUUUGUUUAUACUAGGAGAACGAUGAACCGUGCGAUAUAACUUUUUAAUCUUUAGUUUUACUUUCUUGACAUUAAAACACGUUUUUGUAAUUUUAAAGGUUUAUAUGAAUUUAUUUUCUCCAAAAAAAUUUGCACAUGAUUGUGUGAAUUUGGUGGCUUGUUUCAUACAUUCAAAAGAAGGAGAAAUAGGCUCGACAUGGUAUAAAAUGUCAUAAGAUUCGAUAGAGGAUGGAAAUAUACCGCUAUACCUUAUAUGAAUCUUUAAAUAUUUACAAAAAUUUAAACAUUCUUGUAUAUUCACAUCUGUAAUAGAAAUAUAGUCGGGUCAUAAACGAGAGUAUGUUCAACAUUACUCAAGGAGAUUGGUUAAUAAAAUAGGAACAUUGAUUCUUCAAAAUUUUAAUGUGUUGUCAAAGUAUAAAACUAAGUUUAAAACGAAGUAUUGUAUGGGGAUUUAUGAUCCUAGUACUUUUAUCAUUCAUUAGAACUCUUCAACUUGCAUUUAAACACAACUUGCAUUUAGUUAGUUAAAUCACUUAUAAUUGCAUGCAUAAUUUAGUUUAGUUAUAAUUUGCAUCACAACAAACACUCUCAUUUUGAUUGUUUCAGUUAAGGUCACGAUAAUAGAAAUGGAACUAAAUCAAUCCUUUUGGGACAAUAUUUGAACUUAAAAUCUACUUUAUUACUUGUUAACAAACCGUACACUUAUGGUAAUUUUACAUUGAAAUAUAUUUUCGUUAAUAAAUUUUUGGCGUCAUUGCCGGUGAUUGAGUUUUGAUUGAUUUUAUUUACUUUGACACUAAUUAAAAAUUUUUAUUUUAUUUAGUUUUUCAGUUUAUCGAAGUGCUACUAUUGCUCUUCCUUUAUGUCUUGUAUGCGAUGGUCACUUGAAAGUGAAUUGGUUCCUAUUGAUCCAAAAAUUGAAUGCACCUUUCAUCGUAGGCAAAGAGAGGUAAGAGAAGUACAACAAAAAGAGCAAAAACAACAAAUACCAAUGGCUAAUAAGCAUAUUGAGCCAUUGAUUAAUCCUGCAAAUCUAGUAGAUGCAAAGGUAGAAGAUGAAGGAAAUAUGCUACUUGGGGACUUCAUGGCACCAUUAGUUGUCCAAAGCCAAUCUAGCAUUGUAUAUCCUCCAUUUGGGUAGCUAAACUGCCAACUGAAAAUGAAAGUCAUCCAAAUCUUUCAGCAUGGGCAUUAGUUCUUCGGAAUGGCUAAUGAAAAUCCACAUACACAUAUAUCCCGAUUCUUGGAUAUGUGUCAGCACUCAGGAAUCAAGGAAUUUUAGAUGAUGCUAUUAGGCUAAGGUUAUUUCCACAUACUUUUUGAGAUAAAGUACUCGAAUGGCUGGAUUCACUUCCCAUUGCAAGCAUAACUACUUUGAAUGAGCUAGCUCACAAAUUCUGCAUGAAAAUUUUCUCACCAUUUAAGGUAGUGAGACUGAGGCAUGAAUAUCGAUAUUCAAUUAAGGUGAAUCUAAAUCAUUUAAUGAGGUUUGAAAUAGGUUUAAGAACAUGCUAAGGAAGUAUUCUCAACAUGAUUUAGACAAGAAAACCCAAAUCCGAUUUUUCUAUACAAGAUUACUUCCAACUUUCGAAAAAAUAGUAGAUUCAUCAUCCAAUGGUUGCAUAUCCACGAGAACAAUCGAUGGAGCAUUAGAAUUGUUUUAGAUAAUGGCUACUGAUAAGUGCAUUUUGUGCACUUAUUUACGCCACGUUACUAAACUUGUAUGUCGUCAAAUUAGUGAAUUUUACACUUAAUUUGAGUUAAUUUUGUUUGUUUCAUUGACGGACUCUUUUGAAGCAAUUGAAAAGGAAGAAUGAUUAAAUUGAAUGAAAUUGGCAAUUUUGGCGGAUCAAAGCUACACAACUGAUGAGUUUAAGGAUUACAUUACAUUAACUUGGAAGAUUGGAUGACUUGAAGAAGAUAGUAAAUGAAUUGGGCUUCAAUUAGACUUUUAAGUGAAAUCAAAUUAAAUCAUUGAUUACACUUUUAGUUGGGCUCAAAUUAUAGGGCUGACAAAUUGAAAUUUAUUAGACGGCAGCGUUUUCUGGGGACGGCAAUUGGUAGAAGACGUAGAGGAGAAAAAACACAUUGAAGUUGGCUAGAAAGAAAAUACACGCACAGGAGCAUACAAUUGAAGAAGAAGAAAAAACGAGUUGCCUAAUGGAAAUAUAUACAUAAAAUAAGAGGCAGCCUAGGAAAAUUUGGUGCGAGUCAACUAUUGCGGCUGUUGGAGGAAUAAAGGGUUGUUUGUUACUAAAAUUAUAGACGAAUAUACACAAAAAAAAAAGGUAGCAAAGAGGAGAGAGACACAGACACAAAGACUAAAAGAAUUAGUCAAUUGGUGGCAGAUUGUGAGAAAGAAAAACGGCUGAUUUAUUUUGUGAUUCGUUCCAUCAAUUUUUGGUGAUGUCUUUUAACUUUUGAGUGUUUAACUUCGACUCUAUGUUUGGUUAAAUUUUUUUAUUGCUAUGAUGUGAUGAACCCUCGUUAUGAAAUUUUUUUAGUUUGAAUAAUUAAAUUGAAGUUAAAUUUGUUUGAAUAUUUGGAUGUUUAUUAUUGUUUUUCAUACUUUUCAAUUAAUUGGCCACUAGUUGAAUUGUUUGUGGAUUUUCUUGUUAUCGAGAGAGAUAAUAAGAUCAUUAGCACGUAGUACUAAAUAUUGUGAGGUUCGAUAAAAAAUAGAGAUAUACAUCUAUGCUUCAUAUGAUUUUUAUAAGAUGUUCUAGCUCGUUUAAUGCAUUUAUCAUGUUCGCAUCUUUUAUUCAGAGAUAGGAAGGUCGUAUGAGGGGAAUAGAUUUGAUAACUAUCGAGAGAGGUUUUCAAUUAAAAUAGGAACAUUGACCAACAAGCAUGAUUUCAAAUUGUCAAUUUAAACUAUCGAACUAAAAAAUUGAUUAAUAAGGGGGAUUCUACAUCUUAGCAAUAUUUCUUGUGAAGUUGAUAAAUUUUAUUUACAUUACUUUCUAGUUAGUCGAUAGAUUUAAUAAUUUUUAGUUACUACUCGAUUUUGCUAUUCGAUUAAGGGAGGGUUAGCUUAAAAUUGAUCAAACACAUAGUACUCGUGGGUUCGACACUCUACACACCAUUUUAUUACUUGUUCACGAUCUCGCUCACUUGCGGGCAAUCAAACGAACAGCUACUAUUUCAGCCAUGUGGUCCUCUAAGUAGGUAGUUUAGAAGAAAUCACCAGGGGUUUAUGAGAUAGACACUUACUCGGCCUUAUAUGCUAAAAUAGACUACAUAUUUCAUAAGAUAGAAAGCAUGUCACAUUCAACAAAUGCAAUACAAGCAUGGAAACUAAGUUGUGAAGAAUGUGGAGCUGAUCACAGUACAGCUGAAUGCCCAAUUCUAUCACAGGGAAUGAAAUAGGUAGAAUAUGCGUAAUGGGGUCAGCGUUAACAAAACAAUCCAAAUUCAGACACUUACAAUCCCGGUUGGACAGAACAUCCAAGUUUUUCGUGGGUUGAUAACCAAAAUAAUUUCAAAAUCUUAAUAGACCCCAUGGACAAGUUCAGCAUGAGAAGAAAAUUCAAUUGGAAGAGAUGUUUGCGAAGUUUGUGGAAAAGAUUAAUAAAUACAUGGAAACAAAUAACCAAUUCAUGGGGAAGACUGAAACAAACUUUCCAAAAUUAGAAUGUUACAAUUAAGAACUUUGAGAUGUAGGUGGGAUAGAUUGCACUUUUUACGAUGGGAAGGACACCAAGUACUUUGCCAAGCAAUACUGAAGUGAAUUCCGAAUGAGCGUGUUCAACCAAUUACUACAAGAUAUAGGCUUCGAUUACCAGAAAUACAUGUAAAGAGACCGGGUGAAAUUGAAAAAAUGGUGCGUUCUUCUGAUGAGGAGCACGAGAAGCAGACUGACCAGACCAGAGAGACAUCUACCAAAGAAGGUUUGGAUAUAUCACGGGCUAAAGCAACCGCUCCUAUCAAACAUACAAGGCCCUAAUUUCAUUCAUCUAGAGAUUGAAGAAGCAUAAAAUGGAUCAAUAGCUAAUGAAAUUUUUAGAGAUCUUAAAGAAACUUCACAUAAACAUUCCGUUAGCUGGGGCAAUUACUCAGAUAACCCAACUAUGCCAAAUUCUUGAAUGACAUCCUUUCCAACAAAUGCAAGAUGGAGGUGCACGAAACGGUGGAAUGCAGUGUUAGAAUUCAGAAAAAAUUACCUCCAAAGCUAAAAGAUCCAAGGAGUUUUAUUGUACCCUGCACUAUAGGAAUUGCUAUUUUGAAAAAGCUUUAUGUGAUUUGGAUGCUAGUAUUAAUUUGAUGCAACUUUCUAUUUUCAUUUAACUAGGAUUAGGGAAAGCUGAGGCAACUACGUUAACUCUACAACUGGUUGAUCGAUCAUUUACUCACCCAUGAGGAAUUAUUGAAGAUGUUUUGGUAAAGGUAGAAAAACUCGUAUUUCCAGUGGAUUUUCUCAUUCUAGAGAUGGAGGAAGAUAAGGAUGUACCACUCAUUUUGGGUUGAUCUUUUUAGCUACUAAAAAAGCUCUCGUAGACGUAUAGCGAGGUCGAUUAAUUCUAAGACUAGGAGAGAAGCAGGUCUCUUUAAACGUGUUCAAAGUAAUGAAAUAUCCUACUGAGUCAUACAACUAUUUCCAGAUUGAGGUGGUUGACAAAGUAAUUCAUGACACCUUUCAGUUGCAAAAUAUGUCAGAUGCUUAUGAGGCUUGUAUUGUGUAUUCUCAAUCCACUCACACUGAUUUCAGUGAGAUUGAGGUUUGUGCAAUAUAUAUGGAGACAAAUCCACCAUACAUGUGAAAACGAAAUUAUAUUGAAGUCUGCAUUUGUUGAGUUUUAAACGGGUAAUGAGAGAGAGCCAUACUACUUGGAGCAGGGUAAGGUUAAAAUUUGGAAAAAAGUUACAGUAUAGAAAAAAGUCAUAUUGAGCAAACUAAGCAGGACCUCUAAGGCUAUAUUCAAAGUACCACAACAUACUUGUGCCAAACAUCGAGCUUUAGACUAUAAAUCAAGCGCUUAAUGGGAGGCAACCCAUUCUUAUAUCUCUUUUCACUUAUUUUGACUAGCUAUUGUAUUACACGUAUGUUUAGGGAUUGUAUUAGUAUUUGGAGCCAUGGUUAGGAACUCAUGCAUUUAAUGAUUUUUAACAAAAACUGGGUUAAAAAUUGGGUAGUAUUUUAAAAUUAGUAUUAGGAUCAAUUUACUUAGGCUCGUCACUAGCAUUACAUUGAGCUUACAUUGAUGUGAUAUGCAUUUUUAUGGUUGCUCCUAGAUUUCAAUCUUCUUAAUGUCAGAAGAUUAUAGUUCUUUAUGGUGUGAAUACAUUGCAAAUAUUUAAACCUUAUUUGCUAUUAUUAAUAUUUAUUUUAAAUUCUUGAGACAUAAAAUUGAAGCAUAGCAACAAAGGAAAAUGGUGGUUGUCAUGAUAUCUACUAAACGGACUAGCAUGAUCCUCUAAAUAUCCGCAUCUAUCCCGAGGAGCUUUUGAUCCUUACUAGUUCAUUUUGAUUACUUUUACUUUUACUUUGAGGACGGUGUUUUAUAUAAGUGGUAUGGCAUAAUCUUCAUAACACCUUUAACAUUCAUUGAUAUUUGUGUAUAAUUUACUGCUUUCCCUGUGAUCGUAUGUGUGAAAAAAAGGGUAAUUCGAACAAACGUCCUUAUAUUUCAAUGUUAUUGUGUAAGAUGUCCCUACUUUUCAUUUUUUGGCACUUUUAUUCUUACCUUCACCUUUUAUUGCGAAAAUAAUCAUUUUCAUCAAAUUUCUCGUGUAAAAUGACAAAAAGACCCCCUAUUUAAAUAAAACAAUAAAAAAGAAAAGAAAAGUUAAAGAAUAUAUUGCAAUCAUACUCCCAAACUUUUUUAAAAAGUGCAAACGAGUCCACAUAAAUUAUUAAAGGAGUAGUUAGUACAAAACGUCCAUACUUUUCAUUAUUAUAGUGAAAAACGUCCAUAACGUUCAUUUUUUUUUUGACAUUUUUACCCUUAUUUUUAUAUUUCAUUGCAAAAAUCAUUAUUUUCAUCCAUUUUCCCAAUUAAAAGUUGUAAAAUGACAAAUACACCCUCAUCUUUAAAUAAACAAAAAUAAAGAAAGGAAAAAUAAAGAAAAAAUUGCAAUUAUACUCCCAAAAUUUUCAAAAAAAAAAAACUACAAAUAAAUUUCAAAUAAAUAAUUUAAAAAACAAAAAUCACUUUCUUUUUUAAUUAUUUAUUUGAAAUUUAUUUUUACUUUUUUGAAAAAUUUUGGAAAUAUAGUUGCAAUUUGUUCUUUAUUUUUAUUUUUUUUUUACUUAAAAAGGAGCGCAUAUAUAUUAUUUUGCAACUUUUUCUUGAGAAAAUGGAUGAAAAUAACGAUUUUCGCAAUGAAAUAUAAAAUAAAUUUGAAAAUGUCAAAAAAUGAAAAGUAGGGACGUUUUGCAUAAUAAUAAUGAAAGGUAUGGAUGUUUGUUGCUAAUUACCCUUUUAAUAAUUUAUGUGGACUCAUUUUUAUUUUUUUUAAAAGUUUGGGAGUAUGAUUGCAAUUUAUUCUUUAACUUUUCUUUUCUUUUUUAUUGUUUUAUUUAAAUAGAUGGUAUUUUUGUCAUUUUACAUGAGAAAUUUGAUGAAAAUGAUGAUUUUCGCAAUAAAAGGUAAAAAUAAGGGUAAAAGUGCCAAAAAUGAAAGGUAUGUACGUUUUAUACAAUCAUAUUGAAAGGUAAGGACAUUUUGUGCUAAUUAUCCAAAAUAAAAAAUUACAGUCUUUACUCAUUUUUAUUUAUUAUUUUGUUUGCUUAUGUAGGUUUGAUGACCUUGUCGACAAUGAUGUUGAAUACUAGAAUAGGCAUAGACUAGGAACAAUGGAAAAAGUGCAUGACUAGAAUAGCCGAUACUAGUUUAUGUGAAACUUGACAUUUUCUGUGCACGAUACUCAUGAUUUACAUGUUAAGUUGGUGAUUUGGUUCAUUAUUUAGAAAAGAGUUGAACAUAAUAUGUUAUACCUAACAAACCUCUAUUGUACUUAUCCAUAACCCAUUGUUUUGAUGCUUUGAAGAUGGUUGAGCUAUUUUAGAGGAACAUUGAGAUAAGUAGGUCUUCCGUAAAUGAAAUUAUAAUGUGUGGAAUACUUAAAACCAAUGAGACUAAGAUUAGAUGAAAGUUUUCGGUUAGGCGUUGGUUUUGAAAACUAAAUGUCUAAAAGAAAAGCGGCAUAAUAUUAAUCUUUGUGUGAAUAAUACUUCUUUCAAAGUCUUUAUGGCUCGAGCAAGUAAGCUUGUAAGGAUAUUGAAAACCUGGUGCCAUAAAGUCAAUUGAUUUGGGAGUUAUCAGCCUAAAACUCACUACGGAGGUCAUAUAGAAAACAAAAAAGGAGAAGUUGAUAAAAAAAUAUCUUUUCGAGCCUUUAUAACUCAAAUGAAUAAGCCUAUAAGGGUAUUUGAUAACUUGGUGCCCUAAAAUCAUCUGACUUCGGAAUCAUCGGCCUAAAACUCGAUACUUGGACUAGAUAGAAAGAAAAUGAGUGGAUGAUAAAAAAGAGAGAGAAAAUAAGAAUAAGUGAGGAAAGACACAAUCAUAUUGAUUAAGUCCUAAGACAUUCGGUUGAUAAAAUUAUACAUUUAAUGCGAGCCAAGUAGCUUAGUUUAGCCUUAAAGGUUGAAGCAAUCAAAAAUAGGAUAACCUCUACAUUUGGAAGCUUGAAUUUGCGAUAGUAAACUAAGAGAGGGUAAGGAUUAGAAUUAAUUUCAACCUUAGAGUACAAGUUGGGGAAAUUGAGUGAAAAGAAUAAGUUUAGGGGCAUGUAUCUCUCGAGAUAACAAAGGAAAUACUUGACCACUAUGGGUUGGGAGUUGAACCAAUCAUGAGUUUAACAUGUUUACAUUAGUUUACACACACAUCAGGUUAUGCAUAUAAUAGGUGGAGGCCUAUUUGAUUUGGUACUGUUGAAACUAUUCAUUAUGUUGAUUACUGAAUUCCAAUCCUGAGAGAUGUUGGGUUGUCAAAUCAUGUUUUAUGUUGAGUGAAGCUACAUUUUUGUUUGAGGACCAAAAAUAGUUCAAGUUUGGGGAUUUGAUAAGUGUGUUUUAUACACUUAUUUUGACAACAAAAACAGGAUAAUUAUUGAUAAAUAUGUUAAAAUAUGGCUUAAUUCUAUAUAAAUUAUAUUUUGUAGGACAACAUUGAUGAAUGUAGCGGAAUCUCAGAGAAACUAACGAAAGAGGACCAAAAUGGAAGAAAAUAAAAGUUCAUGGACCAAAGUGCAAAUAACCAAAAGACGUCUAGGAAGACAAUGACGAUUUGAAAGAUUUGAAGGCUAAUUUAUAGAAGACAUGAAGUAUUGGAAGAAGAUAGAAAUGAGAAAAAGAGGUCAAGAAACGAGAAAAUUAAAUUCAAGGACUAAAACACAGCAUUUGAAAGUUAAUAUAACUAAGUCACUGCCCAGUUAUAUAGGUCGGAUGACUGCCAAACCACGAAGAACAAAUACCAAGGCUUAAAGUUUAGCUUGGAAGACGGUGACGAAAAAAUUUUGAUUUUCUUAUCUGACAGAAAUUCUUAUAGAAAUAAAUCUUGAUGUUAGGUCUAAUUGUUUUUGGCAAUUUUGUGAACAAAAAGGGUCAAAUUGAAACAGUGUUGAAGUCGAAGAGUAAUGUGCAAUAUUGUAAAAAGUUGUUCGUAGGUUAGGGUUUAAUGUUAAAAUAAAGAAGGAAGGAAGGCUUGUUGCAUUUUCGCUUGAUUCUCGUCAACACACCGCUCGAGAGGCAUAUGCAGAGAGGACAUCGCUAGCUUCUCGCCAAGCCUUCACUCGAGUGAAAAGGUCAUUGCUAGCUAUCGGUUGACGUCGUUCGAGAGAUAAAUAUUUUCGCAAAACCCUAAUUUUCCUUUUUCGAGAGUUUUAACCAUUCCAAACUACCCAAAACAUCCUAUAUAUAAAAAUCUGUGUUGUUUUCACGAAAAAGCUGGGAUUGUCCAUUAGAGAAAACACUUGCAUUCUUCAAAAUACACAUUCCAUUCUUCAUCAACCUUGGCAAUUGAAAAACAUCAAAUCUGAAAUUCAAACACCAAAAACCAAAAGCUUCCAUGGGCUCUGUUUGAGAUUGAAGAUCGAGGAAGAUGAUUGGAGUUGUGGUCAUUGGAGAACGGGGAGUUCUUAGGGAUCCAUUGGAGAUAGACGAGAUCAAAAAUAGGGAAUUGGUGUAGGAGCACGCAAUCUAGAAGGGCUUUGGGAAUUACAAUACAGAAGAUCAGAAAGAACGUAUGUGGGUCUAGUUUGUUGGUACUGUAAGUUGUGUUCGUUUAUAGUGGAUUCACACUGGUUGGGGCCCCGAGUUUUACUUAGUUUGAGGUUUCUCCAUCAUCAAAUUUUGCGUGUUCUUUAUUUUUCCAGUAAUUUAUUAUACUCCGUUAAUUCAACAUAGGGUAGAUUGCAUGAGAAUUGGACUAGACUAAUUAAUUAAUUAUCACACUGUGCAACAAUUGUUAAUUGAAAUUUGGUAAAUUUAGUGCAAACACCUAUUCACCCUUCUCUCUAGGUGUUAUUUGGGUCGAACUGUGUAACUUUCACUUGGAAUAUCUUUAAAAUCCCUAGAGACGCCCAUAAGGAAUAGGGGACGCAGUCUAAACAUUUAUAAGGGCAUUAGAGCAUAGACGGAGACAAGAAACACAAAGAUCAACCUAAGACGCGAAGAUUCAAUUCAAGAUUUAAAUUGGUGAUGUCGUUUCUUCAAUAUUCUUUUUGUUUUCUUUUUUCCACCAUGUUAGGCUAGAUUUGUUUGUGCUAGGAGAAUGAUGAACCAUGUGAUAUGACUUUUUAAUAUUUAGUUUUACACUCUUGACAUUAAAACACGUUUUUGGAAUUUGAAUGAUUUCUAUGAAUUUAUUUUCUCAACAAUUAUUGUACAUUUGAUUGUGUGAAUUUGGUGGCUUGUUUCAUGCAUUCAAACAAGGGAAAUAGGCUCGACAUGAAAUAAAUCGUCUUAGGGUCUGAUAGGAGAUAGAAAUGUACUGCUAUGCUUUAUGUGAAUAUUUAUGUGUUUACAAAAAUUCACGCAUUCUUGUGCAUUCGCAUCCACCAUAGAAAUAUAGUCGGGCCAUUUUUAUUAGAGUAAGUUCAACAUUACUCAAGAGAGAUUGUUGCAUAAAAUAGGAACAUUAAUUUUUCAAAAUACAACCAUCUUGUUAAAGUUUAAAACUAAGUUUAAAACGGAAUAUUGAAUGUGGAUUCGUGAUUCUAGUACGUUUAUCAUUAAUUAGAACACUUCAACUUGCAUUUAAACACAACUUGCAUUUAGUUAAUUAAAUCACUUAUAAUUGCAUACGUAGUUUAGUUUAGUUAUAAUUUGCAUCACAACAAAUACUCUCAAUUUGAUAGUUUCGGUUAAGGUUACGGUAACAGAAAUUGAACUAAAACAAUGCUUGUGGGACAAUAUUCGGACUUAAAAUCCACUUUAUUAUUUGUUAACGAACUAUACACUUUCUAUGACAAUCUACUCAACAAGUAGAAUAAGUUAAUCUAUUUACUUUAAUACUUUGACUUUUGGAUCAAGUCCGAAUAUUUGAUCGACAUUGACACAAAGUCACUUUUCAAAGUUUAUAUUUAACCAAAAUUUCAUUUCUUAAACCAAACUCCAACAGCAUUUGCAAUUGAAUGCAUCUUAACGAUCAAGGGCGGAGCCAUGUUGAGACGAGUGUGGGCAUAUGCCCGCAUUGAAUUUAUAGGCCUAAACCUUUUUUUUUUGGUAUUAUUAUUAGCAACAUGAGGUGGAAUAAAAACAUGUUUUAAUUUACAUGGGUUUUAUUUUUAGGUCCAAACCCAUGAUUUUGUUUUAUAGUUUUAUCAUCAUUAAAUUCAUGACCAAAACUCAAUGUUCGACGUGGGUUAAAUUAUGUCAGCACUGAACAAAUUUCCUGGCUCCGCCCCUGUUAACGAUGAUACCCCCCCUCGAACUUCAACAACGAUUGUUUGCUACUGGAUAUGAAAUUCAAAGUUGGAAUAAAUUGUGGGAUAAUAGUUUGGAAAAGAAACGUAUUUUAUGCUUUAAUAUUUCACAAAUUCAUCUUCAACAACAUAUUCUCCUGAUAAAGUAAUUUUAUAUGUGGAUCCAAAUUUUUUUUCAUAUUUUUUAACAACAUAUUCUUCAAAAAAUCAAUAUUACAAAAUCUAUGCUUCAAAAAAAUUGGGCUUAAACAAACCAUAUAUUUGUUUUCUAUUUUUGCCGAAAUAUUAGGGGAAAAAAAUGUUUGGUAGCUCCUAGUUUUGGAGCUUGUAGAUCUAAAAAUGGAAUUUGAAACCAGAAAACGGAAAAGACUAGAAAUUAUUGAGGGGAGAGAGAGUGAGUUUGAAUUAUUGAAUAUAUUGGAGUACAGCUCAUACGAUUCACUUUUCAAAUAGCUUUAAAUUUAACAAUGGAUAUAAAGAAAAAGCCACAAGAAAAGUUCACAAAAGUCUGAAUAUUUCCUCUACCCAUUUCUGUUCUAUUUCAUCACAUCACCUGUGUGAAAUCUUAUUUGUGGAGUCCAAAUUAAAAACAAUACAAAAGUUGAAUAAACAAUGUACUCAAAGUAUUAUAUAUUUUUAUUUGUUUGCUCCAUCGUUCCAUUUUUGACAUAAUAUUUUUUUUUUCCGUUAUCUGAUAUCUUCAAAGGAUUGUCCCAAAUCAAUAGUAAAUUCAAAAUCUAAAACAUAAUCGAGCGUGUUAUCUCCAUUGUCAAGAAAAAUCAUCGGUGCAAUAAAGUGCAAAAUUUUUUUUUGCAUCGAAAAACGCCUUCAACUCUAAUUCACUAAUGUGUAAUGAAUUUCAAUGAGUGUGACUUAGAAAUAUAUCUCAACAAUGGUAACAAUGAUCAAUUUGAUACUCUUGAUUCAAAAUUCAACAGUAAUUUGCAUUUUAAUUUCUGAAUGUGAAUACAGUAUUCACCUUUUGAAUGUAACUUAACAAUAAUACCCCAGUCUCAAACUUCAACAUUGAUCAUUUGCCACGACGCAUUCGAAAUUCAAAGUCGUAGUACUUCAUAAUAUUUUUAAAAAGAGAUGUAUUGAAUGUUUUAUAGCUUAUUAAAAAAUUAUGGUCACUCUAAUAACCCAUUAAAUCUAUAAAAACUAAGGAUCAUUUACACGAUUUUAGAUUUUUUAGUAUACCAAGAAAAAUGAAAGAAAGACGAAAAUUUGGGUUUUAAAAGAAAAAAUUAAAUUGAAUCGUAUCUUCCAAUCUACCCUCAAAAUGGAUAAUUAUUAUACAUUGUGAACUUGAGAAAAAAUUUAACGAUGAAAAUUCUUGUCUUCAAAAGUAUCAAGAUGACAAUUUUUUGGCUAAACAACCAAAAAAUUAACUUUUUACUAUAGAAAAGUACGUCGUCAAAAGUGAAAUUUUUGUACUCAUCAUCAUCAGCAAUGUCACUGCAAACCUACAUUGCUUUUGCAAGUAACAUUGGUAUUCUAAUUUUGAUUUCUAUUUUUACUAAAUUUUAGUAGCUUUGGAGCUUGGAGAUCUGAAAAGCAAAUCAUACAAGAGAAGGAAAAAGACUACUAAUUAUUGAAGAGGGAGAGAGAAUUUGAGUUAAUCAAUAUAUUGAGUACAGCUCAUAUGAUUCACUUUUCUAAUGCCUUUAAACAAUGGAUGAAAACAGUCCCCAAAAAAUAUAAAAAGGGACUAGAUGUAAACAAAAAUAUUGCACUCCUUAAGAUGUUCAAAUUACUUUUUGAGCUUUUGUCGAAGAUGUGGAUGCAAUGAAGAGUAUCCAAGACUAGACAUGCUAUUCAAGAUGAUUAUUCAUUUUUCUUUACUUGCUUUAAAAAGAAAACUCACCUUCUUAGUCGUUUUCACACAGACCGCGUGAAAUUAUUGUUGUGUUGAUGUAUGUUUUCAUUCUUAGGAGAAACUAAAAGAAUUUUUUCCAUGUUUGAUUACUAAUAUAUAUUCGAUAUCCUCAAUAGAAGUCUCGAUAUUAUGAUGGUUUUUUUUCCCCAUUAUGAUGACCACUUUUACUUGUCGUAAUUUAUGAAUUAAUCAUUUUGUUUUGACCAUGUAAAGUACUUAAUUUUUUGUUAAAUCGAUCAUGUGAAAAAUGAACUAACAUACGUACAUGACAAGUUGAUAGAAUAUACUGAGUGUACAAUGUAGACAAACGUUCAACCAUAAAAUUUAAAAGAAAAUAUUUAGUGCUUAUUUGGAUUUCAUUAUACGUUUUUGAAAUAUAAUGUGAUAGAAAUGCAUGAUGGAUAAGUGAGUAUUUGUGAGUCCUAUGAAAUGUAUGAUUAAACUUAAUUUUCACAUUAUAUUAUAAGGACAUUAUAAUGAAAGGAAAAUUAAGAAAUUAAGCCCAAUAUCAACAAAAGCAGCGUUCAUAUAAUUCAUAUCUUCUAUUUUCGUGUAUCAAUGCAUGGCGGUCGCUCCAUAUACAUCAAAGAACACAGUAGUUUUCAAGAGUUGAUCGCGGUACUGUAGUGAAAAUAUGUAUCAGAUGUCCAAAUUUUCCGCCAUUGCUAUGUCUGCAUAUAAUCUGAUCGCUCCAUCUUUUGCCACAUUAUUUCCGCAAUUUUACAUUGUAUUAUAACAUGUGUUUCAAAUUUUCUUCAUGGUUUUGAUAGAAAGGAUAAAUUGAAUGAGUGACAAUUUACCGUCUUUGUAGCGUACUGCCUCCACUCAAAUACGUUCAUAGAGAAUUUACCAUAUGAAAAUCCUAUUCUUUGGUGGAAUGUUUAGUGUCCAGAAGCCUUUCCACCAGUUUUUUAUUACCACAUUAUAAGAUGUAGAUGCUUGAUGUUGAGGUUGGAUGCCAAUCUAUAAUCUCUAUCCGGACUGAACCGAGAAUUUCCCACUCCACUCGUAGAGCCAAAUAAUCUGAUCGUCACAGGAGAAAGAACUGAUUGAGAUUGCUAGUAUGGCAUCGCGAUCAUUGGCGAAAAAUGGCUUUCAACUCAGCAAAAAUCCCAAACCCCUGGAGAAAUAAAUAAUUCGCUGACCAUGGUUUAAACUUUAAAGGUAUUAGGCCGUAGAAUCCGAGAAAUUGUUAGUUCUGAAGUGUUCAUGUAACUACUUAACUCUGUGAGAUAGUGUGCGUCUUGAUUCUCCCGUCUCCUUACAUGAGUACUUGAUAAUCUCUGUAUCCUUUUAUCAUUUCCUGGUGUUAAUUGUUUAUGUAGAACUAUCCCUAAGGCCAUCUCCAACCCUGCACCAAAUUUUGCACCAUUUUACACCAAAUUUUGCACUAAAUCUUGCACCAAACCAAAAUUCUUCUCCAACCAUUACACCAAAUGAACAGUGCUUUAUUAUUUUAUUCAUUCUUUCGAUUUUUGACAAUGUAUUUAUUUUAAAAUAUUAUUUAUUUAUUUUAUAACUAUAUAAAUUAGUAAAUCAUAACUUCAUUAAAUUAACAAAUAUAUUGAUUACUAAAUUAUCACAUGUCUUAUAUAUUAUGUUAAAUUGACAAAAAUAUUUGAUUAUAUUAUUAAUUUAUGAUAAACAAUUACGUUAAAUUUAAAAAAAUAAUAAAGUUUAAUAAUAUAAACUUUACGUUAAAUUAAAUUUCAAACGUAAACUUUAUGUUAAAUUAACAAUUACGUUAAUUAUUAUUGAUUAUAUUAUUAAAAAUAAUAAACUUUAAUAAUAUAAUUAAUAGUGUAAUUAAUUAAGUAAUUAUUAUUAUUAUUAUUAUGAUUAUGAUUAUGAUUAUGAUUAUCAUUAUCAUUAUUAUUAUUAUUAUUAUUAUUAUUAUUAUUAUUAUUAUAGAACGAAAAUGACACAAAUACCCUUAACCAUUAGCUUUGAAAAAUGAAACAUAAGAGCAAAAUGGACAUUGCACCAGUUGGUGCAAAAUGGUGCAACAUGAAUAGUGUUGCACCAUAUUUGGUGCAACACUAUUCAUUACACCAUUUUUUGCACCAAAAUUUGGUGCAAUGGUGCAAUGGUUGGGGGAAGUUAUAAAAUAAAUAAAUAAUAUUUUAAAAUAAAUACAUUGUCAAAAAUCGAAAGAAUGAAUAAAAUAAUAAAGCACUGUUCAUUUGGUGUAAAUUUUGAUGUAAUGGUUGGAGAAGAAUUUUGGUUUGGUGCAAGAUUUGGUGCAAAAUGGUGCAGGGUUGGAGAUGGCCUAAGAGAUUAUUUUGAAAACUCCCUUGACCUGAGGACCUGAUCUUCACGGAAUCCAAGAUCUCUUAAUAAUAAAUCUAGAACUAAGAUCAGUAAGUGAUUCACUUUGUGUGAUAUUCUCUCUGUGAUGAUUGACUAUUUUUUGGCAUUUGAUAAAUACUUUUUGUAUUUUAUUAUGUGUUGGGUAUUUGGGAAACUCUUGAAUCGAAUUACUUGAAAAAACCUCUUCCAAAUAAAUUAUUUUUGUUGGAAAAUUUUAAAUUGACUCCGACAAGAUAUAUAUUUUCAAUAAGUUGAUCCAAGAUAUAAAAAAUUGUGGCAACAAGGGAAUAUGCGAGUAUAAAGCAAUCAUCAUGUAAAAUGCUAUCAUUGAGACCGAUAAGGAUGUUAACUGUGUCAUCAAUACUUUAAGAAGCAAUGAUCUAGAACUUAAAAAUGAUACAGAAACUAAAACCAGUGCUGAGGGGUAAAUCCAAACAUAGAGAGUCUAGUGGUUAGGAGAGUAAUAAUUCUUAUGGUCAUCACCAUAAAAAGAACUGUAGGAAUUAUUUUGGGUGUAAGUCAAAGGCUAAAAAUAGAAAAUGCUGUAAUUUUGGAAAAAAGAGACAUUAUAUUAAGGAUUGUUAUAAACUUAACAAUAAUUUCAAUAAAAUGAAAUAGAAAUCGAACCAAGUAAUUUUGCCACAACUAGCAACAAGACUCUUGAUGAUCUCUAUGUAGCCAUCCAAGUGGAAGAGACCGAGCGCCUUCCACUGAUUAUUUAAAUGAAUGGUUACAAGAAUUAGAUUGCACAUUUCAUAUGACAUCCAGAAAGGACAUUUAUUGUACCUAUAAAGAAAUAAACAGAAUGAUAGUAGUUAUAGGAAAUAAUAUAUCGUGCAGAGUGAGAAGCAAACCCACCUACAAAUUAAUCAAAACAAUUGAUUAGUGUAAGGAUUUGCAAAGUAAAUUGAAGAAAAUCAAGACCAAAAUCUGAAAAUAAAAGGAAAGGUUUUCCCCUUUAUAAUUCGGCUCAGAAACUUGAUCUACACCACAAAGGUAUCUCCAAUUUGAAGGCCAUUAUCAGUCACACAGACAUAUUCACAAAGAAAAGGCAAGAGAGGAUUGGUUUGCACUAAGCAGAGAAGUUUUUCUUCCUCUUGUUUUUUGCUCUCGGUUUUGGUGUGUUUAAUGGAAGGGAAGAGUCUCCUAUUUAUAGGCUUAUAGGAGUGAAUGAAUUUCACAGGAGUCUUCAAGAUUAGAUUGAAUAAAAACUGCAAGAUUAUAUCCAAACUGAAAGAUAGAGCUCAUCCAACAAAAAUGAGAUAAAAUUGGUUUGAUAAUAAUAACGAUAAUAUUUAUCCAUCUUUCAUGUGAAUUUCAAAUUCCCUCCAAGUUGGGUAUUGGGCAUCUAACCCAAUGGACUGAUUACCUCUAAAUACCCAACAUAAUUGGGCUACUUCAAUUGUGGUGUGGAUUUAAUUCUUCAAUCCUGGGCUUAUAGCCUAUGAAGUUAAAACGGGCCUCGAUUUUUCAUCAUAGCUUAGGGGAUUUGGGCAUUACUUACCAAUCAUGCCCAACACAGAGUCAUAGGAUUGGAAAUAUAAGGGUAAAAUUUGAAACUCGAGAUGUCUGUGCUAGAAAUUGUAAGGAGCACUCCUUUCCAUCAAAAGAGUUAGGAAUGGUCUUCUCGAAAAUAGAGAGCGUUUCUGCAGAUUCUGCAAUGGCUAACUCUGUUAAGGGUAAUGGUAGUAAUCUGUUGCACCAAAAAUUAGCUGACUUGGGUAAUAAAGGGUUGCAAAUGCUGCAAAACAAGGAUCUUUUGGGAAAAAUCACAUGACACAUCUACCCUUUUGUAAAAAUAAUGUCCUAGGAGAAUAGCAUAGAGUCCAGUUUUCAUAUUGCUUACAUGGAACUUCCUCAAUAUUAGAAUACUUGAGCUUUGUUUUUUAGGGUCCUUCUAGAACAUCCACACAUUGAAGAAACAUAUGUUUCUUGUCAAUAAUAGAUGAUUCUUUAAGAAAAGUACGGUUUUAUUUGUUAAAACUUUAUAUAUACAUUAGUCCAAUUUUAAACCAUUUUACUUCUUUUUCUUCACUUUUAAAGAAAAGUCUGCUCUUCAAAAAUUGACUUUGUUUGAGGUAUAACCCAUGAUUUAUUUCUAAACUUGCAACAAUAUUGAAAAGGCUUAUGCAUCAUAAACAGAAUUGAUGUGAAUAUACAAUGCAAAUUAGGUACAAAUGCAUAAAAUAAAAUCCCAUGGACAAGGCACAAUGCAUUGCUUUUAUUAAAGUAUAAAAUAGGACGAGCUCGUUGGCAAGGCAUCUUUACAAUUUACCUUCAGUCAUCACAACGCAUCUUUUCUCAAAAUUACAACUAUGAAGGAGGUACAACUAUGAAGGAGUUUUGAAUAUGAUAAUAAAUUAUUUGUUGAGAUAUAGUGGAACUGUUAGAAUCUCAAGACACGGAAACAACUAGCGUGCAAAAUGUUAUAGAGAAAUGUUUACUACUCAAAUAGAUUAAAAUCAUUCAAAGGUGAAUUCAUAAAUCAUUUUUAAUCUCAAUUUUACAGAAUAAAGUAGAACACUAAUUGAAUUCAACACAGUUCGAAUUCUGCCAGGCACUAAUAGUUUAAACAUGCCAUUUACAAAAUUCAUAUACUUUACAAACUCAUUUUUGCUCAAUGAAUGAUCAACAUGCAACUUAAUCAACUUGCUAAGCUCUCAAAUCUCUUAGGUGAUCUGUAUUAGUCCUACGUGUUUUAAAUUAGUCAAGUAUUGUGAAACUCAAUACCUCAAACAGCAGCUUAUGAAAUACAGUAAUUCCUAGAAGGCAAAAAUAGAGCUCAUCUUAGUUUCAAAACAAGGCAAACAUAAGAUAGAAGUUAUUUGAUGUUUUAUUUAAUAGUACACGCAAUACCUAGGAACGAGAUGAGAACUCUUAUUACACUCAAAAAUGUGUCAGAGGGCUGGCAAAGGUAUCUCCUGCAAGAAAAAAAAAUGUUUACAAUCCAAUUGAAUAAGUGAAAGGCGAAUUUUUAGAGAAUCGUAGUAUACCAACAAAAAAUAUUCUUUGUUUACUAGUUUCUUUCUUCUUCACGUUCGCUUACUGCUUUACUUUCCUUUUCAGGUUCACUUUCUGCUUCAUUUUUACUCUCCUGGUCAAAUAUUAUGACUUUAAGUUCUUCAUUUCCCAUUUCUUCUUGUUCUUCUUGAAUUCUCUUAGCAGAUUCUUUGAUAGCUUCCACGCAGUCAUAUACCUCAAUCAUUAGUAAUGUUGGAAUAUCACCUAAACUGGGAGGGAUCAUCUUCAAAUGUUUGCAAUAUUUCAAUCCUAGUCGUUGAAGUCUUGGGAAAUGAUCAGUUGAG